RNAcentral lists this ribosomal RNA (1769 nucleotides) under Pseudarthrobacter phenanthrenivorans. RNAcentral's name for it is "bacterial LSU rRNA". It matches the Rfam family "Bacterial large subunit ribosomal RNA", at positions 1 to 1586 of the family's 2925-position model. Lineage: Bacteria; Bacillati; Actinomycetota; Actinomycetes; Micrococcales; Micrococcaceae. The record is from RNAcentral.
UGUGGUCAAGUUUUUAAGAGCACACGGUGGAUGCCUUGGCAUUAGGAGCCGAAGAAGGACGUAGGAAUCUGCGAUAAGCCUGGGGGAGUCGAUAACCGGACUGUGAUCCCAGGGUGUCCGAAUGGGGAAACCCCGCCAAGCGCGCGAGUGACUUGGUGACCCGCAUCUGAACACAUAGGGUGCGUGGAGGGAACGCGGGGAAGUGAAACAUCUCAGUACCCGCAGGAAGAGAAAACAAUAGUGAUUCCGUUAGUAGUGGCGAGCGAACGCGGAUCAGGCUAAACCGUUCCAUGUGUGAUAGCCGGCGGGCGUUGCAUGGUCGGGGUUGUGGGACUUUCCAUACCAGUUCUGCCGGGCUGGUGGGGUGUGAUGUGCGCGCAUAGGUGAACGGUCUUGAAAGGCCGGCCAGAGAGGGUGUUAGCCCCGUAACUGUAAUGCGUUGUGCCGCCUGUGAGAGUAUCCCAAGUAGUACGGGGCCCGAGAAAUCCCGUGCGAAUCUGUCAGGACCACCUGAUAAGCCUAAAUACUCCCUAAUGACCGAUAGCGGACCAGUACCGUGAGGGAAAGGUGAAAAGUACCCCGGGAGGGGAGUGAAACAGUACCUGAAACCGUGUGCUUACAAUCCGUCGGAGCCAGUCUGAUUCUGGUGACGGCGUGCCUUUUGAAGAAUGAGCCUGCGAGUUAGUGUUACGUCGCGAGGUUAACCCGUGUGGGGCAGCCGUAGCGAAAGCGAGUCUGAAUAGGGCGUUGCAGUGGCGUGAUCUAGACCCGAAGCGAAGUGAUCUACCCAUGGCCAGGUUGAAGCGACGGUAAGACGUCGUGGAGGACCGAACCCACUUCAGUUGAAAAUGGAGGGGAUGAGCUGUGGGUAGGGGUGAAAGGCCAAUCAAACUUCGUGAUAGCUGGUUCUCCCCGAAAUGCAUUUAGGUGCAGCGUUGCGUGUUUCUUGCUGGAGGUAGAGCUACUGGAUGGCUAAUGGGCCCUACAAGGUUACUGACGUCAGCCAAACUCCGAAUGCCGGUAAGUGAGAGCGCAGCAGUGAGACUGUGGGGGAUAAGCUUCAUAGUCGAGAGGGAAACAGCCCAGACCACCAACUAAGGCCCCUAAGCGUGUGCUAAGUGGGAAAGGAUGUGGAGUUGCGAAGACAACCAGGAGGUUGGCUUAGAAGCAGCCAUCCUUAAAAGAGUGCGUAAUAGCUCACUGGUCAAGUGAUUCCGCGCCGACAAUGUAGCGGGGCUCAAGUACACCGCCGAAGUUGUGGCAUUCAAACAAUGACUAAGCCUUCGUGGUUCAGGUGUUUGGAUGGGUAGGGGAGCGUCGUGUGGGCGGUGAAGUCGCGGUGUAAACCAGCGGUGGAGCCUACACGAGUGAGAAUGCAGGCAUGAGUAGCGAAAGACGGGUGAGAAACCCGUCCGCCGAAUGAUCAAGGGUUCCAGGGUCAAGCUAAUCUGCCCUGGGUAAGUCGGGACCUAAGGCGAGGCCGACAGGCGUAGUCGAUGGACAACGGGUUGAUAUUCCCGUACCGGCGAAAAACCGCCCAUGCUGAACAGGGGAUACUAACUGCCCGAGACCUGCCCGAUCACCCUUGUGGUGUGAGGGUUUUGGUGGAGCGCAGGACCUGAUCCUGGGAGGCAAGCGUAUUAACAGGUGUGACGCAGGAAGGUAGCCGAGCCGGGCGAUGGUUGUCCCGGUCUAAGGAUGUAGGGCGAACGGUAGGCAAAUCCGCUGUUCAUGAUGCCUGAGAUCUGAUGGGACCCCCGUUUGGGGGG